CCAUAUCAAACCUUGGUCGGGGUUGCUGCACAUGUGGCGCGAAGACGAACGCGUCGUCGCGCAUGGGAGACCGAAGCGAAGCCGGAGGGCGUGGCUCGCUGCUGUGAUUCAUCGAGCACCCACACGCGAGGCGAAGGAGCAUGCUGCUGCGGCUUGCAGCUUGCUGCGCAUGUCGGCGGUGGAGCUCGCUGCUGGAAUUUUAUGGGCGCCCUGGACAGUGAGCUGGGCGGCAUUGGCCUCUCACCAUGGGUGGAGCUCAGAUGGGGGCAAUGCUGCCAUGGGAGAGGAGCUUGGGUGUCCUCCAUGGCUGUUCAGAUCUCAGGCGCAGGAGGGGUUUAUUUCAGGCGUUGAAACAUGGAGGAGCAGAGGAAGGAAAGGGGGAGAUUGCAGGGGGCGCCAUGGAGAAGCUUCUGCGCGGCGUCCAUUGCAGGGGAGGUGGAGCUCGUAGGGAGGGGCGCCGUGCAGGAGAGGGGCGCAGGGAACUCAGACUGGAGCUGGACGGUGUCAAGUUCCCUGCCAUGGGGGCGCUGCUUGGGCGCCAUGGCUGCUGGAAAAAAAAUUCUGGGCGCCAUGAACAGAGAGGAAGCGCUGUGUGCGUGUGGGAGAGGAAGAAGAAGGUUGUGGCGGCUAGGGGUAGGGAG
Molecule: unclassified non-coding RNA, 641 nt
Filed under: Zea mays
Lineage: Eukaryota; Viridiplantae; Streptophyta; Magnoliopsida; Poales; Poaceae
Description: misc RNA Zm00001eb086510
Source: RNAcentral